AUUGAACGCUGGCGGCAUGCCUUACACAUGCAAGUCGAACGGUAACAGGUCUUCGGAUGCUGACGAGUGGCGAACGGGUGAGUAAUACAUCGGAACGUGCCCGAUCGUGGGGGAUAACGAAGCGAAAGCUUUGCUAAUACCGCAUAAGAUCUACGGAUGAAAGCAGGGGACCGCAAGGCCUUGCGCGAACGGAGCGGCCGAUGGCAGAUUAGGUAGUUGGUGGGAUAAAAGCUUACCAAGCCGACGAUCUGUAGCUGGUCUGAGAGGACGACCAGCCACACUGGGACUGAGACACGGCCCAGACUCCUACGGGAGGCAGCAGUGGGGAAUUUUGGGCAAUGGGCGAAAGCCUGAUCCAGCCAUGCCGCGUGCAGGAUGAAGGCCUUCGGGUUGUAAACUGCUUUUGUACGGAACGAAAAGACUCUGGUUAAUACCUGGGGUCCAUGACGGUACCGUAAGAAUAAGCACCGGCUAACUACGUG
Molecule: ribosomal RNA, 482 nt
Filed under: uncultured bacterium
Lineage: Bacteria
Description: partial 16S ribosomal RNA
Rfam family: Bacterial small subunit ribosomal RNA
Source: RNAcentral